GUCGUUACAAGGUCUCCGUAGGUGAACUGCGGAGGGAUCAUUA
RNAcentral lists this ribosomal RNA (43 nucleotides) under Cladosporium sp. GI521. Its description in RNAcentral is "partial small subunit ribosomal RNA". Lineage: Eukaryota; Fungi; Ascomycota; Dothideomycetes; Cladosporiales; Cladosporiaceae. The record is from RNAcentral.